AAUGAACGUUGGCGGCGUGGAUUAGGCAUGCAAGUCGAGCGAGAACCCCGCAAGGGGGGACAGCGGCGAAAGGGACAGUAAUGUGUAGAUUAUCUGCCCUCAGGUCCGGGAUAGCUGCGGGAAACUGCAGGUAAUACCGGAUAACAUCUCCGGAUCAAAGGUGUGAUUCCGCCUGAGGAUGAGUCUGCAUCCUAUUAGCUAGUUGGUGGGGUAAUGGCCUACCAAGGCAUUGAUGGGUAGCAGGUGUGAGAGCACGACCUGCGUCAUUGGGACUGAGACACUGCCCAGACACCUACGGGUGGCUGCAGUCGAGAAUCUUCGGCAAUGGGCGCAAGCCUGACCGAGCGACGCCGCGUGUGGGAUGAAGGCCUUCGGGUGGUAAACCACUGUCAGAGGGGAUGAAAUGCAGGUGGGUUCUCCCAUCUGUUUGACAUAGCCUCAGAGGAAGGACGGGCUAAGUUCGU
This 464-nucleotide ribosomal RNA is filed under the name uncultured bacterium. Its description in RNAcentral is "partial 16S ribosomal RNA". It matches the Rfam family "Bacterial small subunit ribosomal RNA", at positions 29 to 506 of the family's 1533-position model. The record is from RNAcentral.